This 496-nucleotide ribosomal RNA is filed under the name uncultured bacterium. Its description in RNAcentral is "partial 16S ribosomal RNA". It matches the Rfam family "Bacterial small subunit ribosomal RNA", at positions 29 to 507 of the family's 1533-position model. The record is from RNAcentral.
AUGAACGCUGGCGGCGUGCCUAAUACAUGCAAGUCGAGCGAACAGACGAGGAGCUUGCUCCUCUGACGUUAUCGGCGGACGGUUGAGUAACACGUGGAUAACCUACCUAUAAGACUGGGAUAACUUCGGGAAACCGGAGCUAAUACCGGAUAAUAUAUUUAACCGCAUGGUUCAAUAGUUAAAGACGGUUUUGCUGUCACUUAUAGAUGGAUCCCCGCCGCAUUAGCUAGUUGGUAAGGUAACGGCUUACCAAGGCAACGAUGCGUAGACGACCUGAGAGGGGGAUCGGCCACACUGGAACUGAGACACGGUCCAGACUCCUACGGGAGGCAGCAGUAGGGAAUCUUCCGCAAUGGGCGAAAGCAUGACGGAGCAACGCCGCGUGAGUGAUGAAGGUCUUCGGAUCGUAAAACUCUGUUAUUAGGGAAGAACAAAUGUGUAAGUAACUAUGCACGUCUUGACGGUACCUAAUCAGAAAGCCACGGCUAACUACGUG